Molecule: ribosomal RNA, 253 nt
Filed under: uncultured bacterium
Lineage: Bacteria
Description: partial 16S ribosomal RNA
Rfam family: Bacterial small subunit ribosomal RNA
Source: RNAcentral
UACGGGGGGGGCAAGCGUUGUUCGGAAUUACUGGGCGUAAAGGGCGCGUAGGCGGGUGGACAAGUCUCUCGUGAAAGCCCACGGCUCAACCGUGGAAUUGCGGGAGAUACUGUCUGUCUUGAGUCCGGGAGAGGAGGGUGGAAUUCCCAGUGUAGCGGUGAAAUUCGUAGAUAUUAGGAAGAACACCAGUGGCGAAGGCGGCUCACUGGUCCGGUACUGACGCUGAGGUGCGAAAGCGUGGGGAGCAAACAGG